This 288-nucleotide ribosomal RNA is filed under the name Triticum aestivum (bread wheat). RNAcentral's name for it is "partial small subunit ribosomal RNA". The record is from RNAcentral. Lineage: Eukaryota; Viridiplantae; Streptophyta; Magnoliopsida; Poales; Poaceae.
AUGCCACUGGACUUCACCAAGCACUUCCCCGCCGCCCCUUAGGAAUUCAAGCUCAAGACCAACAUCGGUUGCACCUGGAGGGUGACGGUCCUGGUGAUCAACGGGACAGUCACCCUUGACCAAGGUUGGUCCCCCUUCGCCACUGUUCACCAAAUCAAGAUUGGGUACCUUGUCACUUUCAAGUUGCUGACUCCCAGCACCUUCAAGUUGAUCGUCUUCAACAAAGACGACGCCAAGGUGGUGACGAUGUGCAAGAAGCACGAUGUGGCCUUUGCCAUGGAUGUCUAG